RNAcentral lists this ribosomal RNA (506 nucleotides) under uncultured bacterium. Its description in RNAcentral is "partial 16S ribosomal RNA". It matches the Rfam family "Bacterial small subunit ribosomal RNA", at positions 30 to 523 of the family's 1533-position model. The record is from RNAcentral.
AUUGAACGCUGGCGGCAGGCCUAACACAUGCAAGUCGAACGGUAACAGAAAGCAGCUUGCUGCUUUGCUGACGAGUGGCGGACGGGUGAGUAAUGUCUGGGAAACUGCCUGAUGGAGGGGGAUAACUACUGGAAACGGUAGCUAAUACCGCAUAAUGUCGCAAGACCAAAGAGGGGGACCUUCGGGCCUCUUGCCAUCGGAUGUGCCCAGAUGGGAUUAGCUUGUUGGUGGGGUAACGGCUCACCAAGGCGACGAUCCCUAGCUGGUCUGGGAGGAGGGCAAGCCAAAUUGGAACUGAGACACGGUCCAGGCUCCUACGGGAGGCAGCAGUGGGGAAUAUUGCACAAUGGGCGCAAGCCUGAUGCAGCCAUGCCGCGUGUAUGAAGAAGGCCUUCGGGUUGUAAAGUACUUUCAGCGGGGAGGAAGGGAGUAAAGUUAAUACCUUUGCUCAUUGACGUUACCCGCAGAAGAAGCACCGGCUAACUCCGUGCCAGCAGCCGCCGUAA